CCUACGGGAGGCUGCAGUGAGGAAUAUUGGUCAAUGGCCGGAAGGCUGAACCAGCCAUGCCGCGUGAAGGUCAGUGCCCUAUGGGCGUUAAACUUCUUUUGUGCGGGAGCAAUAAUGGUCACGUGUGGCCAGACGAGAGUACCGUACGAAUAAGCAUCGGCUAACUCCGUGCCAGCAGCCGCGGUAAUACGGGGGAUGCAAGCGUUAUCCGGAUUUAUGGGGUGUAAAGGGUGCGUAGGCUGUGAGGUAAGUCAGCGGUGAAAUGCCCCCGCUCAACGGGGUGAAGUGCCAUUGAUACUGCCUUGCUGGAAUGCGGAUGCCGUGGGAGGAAUGUGUGGUGUAGCGGUGAAAUGCAUAGAUAUCACACAGAACACCGAUUGCGAAGGCAUCUCACGAAUCCGCGAUUGACGCUGAUGCACGAAGGCCAGGGGAGCGAAAGGGAUUAGAUACCCUGUAGUC
Molecule: ribosomal RNA, 459 nt
Filed under: uncultured bacterium
Lineage: Bacteria
Description: partial 16S ribosomal RNA
Rfam family: Bacterial small subunit ribosomal RNA
Source: RNAcentral